RNAcentral lists this long non-coding RNA (500 nucleotides) under Nicotiana benthamiana. RNAcentral's name for it is "long non-coding RNA (NBEN_LNC009268)". The record is from RNAcentral. Lineage: Eukaryota; Viridiplantae; Streptophyta; Magnoliopsida; Solanales; Solanaceae.
UCGAUAUCCAUACAACAGCCUUUGUUGUCUCCUCCAUUACAUUAAAAUCAAUAGACCAUGGAAAUAGUCUAAUUUGGUGCUCCCUUCCAUUGUGAUUAAAGUAAAAAACUGACCUCGCAAGUGAUGUACGAAAAUCGUCAGAUUGAUCCAUCCUGAUAAGAAUUUGUCAUGGUGCAAGUUGCCCGAUCAAAGCUUGUCCUUUAAUUCCAAGGAUUUUUGGCAGUAGGUUCCUCAAGGUUGAUAACUCCAUCUUGUUUGAAGAUAGUUUCACCACAAUAGCUUGAUGCAGUCUGUCCUUUAAUUCCAAGGAUUUUUGGCAGUAGGUUCCUCAAGGUUGAUAACUCCAUCUUGUUUGAAGAUAGUUUCACCAUAGUAGUUUGAUGCAGUCCCUCCUCUUUUGCAUAAUCUAGUCGUUCUUCCUUUGUAAAUUGAAUAGUUGGUACUCCAUGUAUAACUUCAACUUGUUUUAUAUUUGUUUGGUUCGAAAAAAAUGAAACGGG